GAUGAACGCUGGCGGCAUGCCUAACACAUGCAAGUCGAACGAAGGCUUCGGCCUUAGUGGCGCACGGGUGCGUAACGCGUGGGAAUCUGCCCUCAGGUUCGGAAUAACAGCGAGAAAUUGCUGCUAAUACCGGAUGAUAUCGCGAGAUCAAAGAUUUAUCGCCUGAGGAUGAGCCCGCGUAGGAUUAGCUAGUUGGUGUGGUAAAGGCGCACCAAGGCGACGAUCCUUAGCUGGUCUGAGAGGAUGAUCAGCCACACUGGGACUGAGACACGGCCCAGACUCCUACGGGAGGCAGCAGUGGGGAAUAUUGGACAGUGGGCGAAAGCCUGAUCCAGCAAUGCCGCGUGAGUGAUGAAGGCCUUAGGGUUGUAAAGCUCUUUUACCCGGGAUGAUAAUGACGGUACCGGGAGAAUAAGCUCCGGCUAACUCCGUGCCAGCCGCCGCCGUAA
Molecule: ribosomal RNA, 449 nt
Filed under: uncultured bacterium
Lineage: Bacteria
Description: partial 16S ribosomal RNA
Rfam family: Bacterial small subunit ribosomal RNA
Source: RNAcentral